AAAUAAAUGAAAAGUUCCACUGCAGAGAGUAAGCAAAGGAUAUAAAAAGUAAAUACUAACACAAAUAUCAGGAAAGAUUCAAAGGGAACCGCCUGCAAGGAUGGCCACAUCUCAUGUUAUUGCUGUGAAGUGUGAAUGCAGUGAAAAGCAUUUUGUUCAAGAUAACUAAACAGGGCAACAAAAUUUUAGAUUGUUCAGACCUCUUCAACACUGCAUAAAUCUCUACAAAUGCAAGAAUUAAUGACACAUAAUUGUAAUUGUAAUUCAGGAUGAUCAAUGCUUCAUGCCAAUUGAUUUGAUGUGCCACAAAGAUCAGCAAUGUAUAACCACCAAACUCAAUAGCCACACAAAAAUUUAGCUAAUAUGCAUUUUCCCUGCUUUGAUAUGGAUAUUCGCAUCAAGUAGCACCAGUUGGUAACUCUAAAGAUGGGUGAGAACUUAUCGAGAGAGGAACAACACCUACAUUUUUUUAACCAAAAAUGUUUCUCAAUAGCA
Molecule: unclassified non-coding RNA, 495 nt
Filed under: Hevea brasiliensis (rubber tree)
Lineage: Eukaryota; Viridiplantae; Streptophyta; Magnoliopsida; Malpighiales; Euphorbiaceae
Source: RNAcentral